UACAGAGGGGGCAAGCGUUGUUCGGAAUUACUGGGCGUAAAGGGCGCGUAGGCGGCCUGUUAAGUCGAACGUGAAAUCCCCGGGCUCAACCCGGGAACUGCGUCCGAUACUGGCAGGCUUGAAUCCGGGAGAGGGAUGCGGAAUUCCAGGUGUAGCGGUGAAAUGCGUAGAUAUCUGGAGGAACACCGGUGGCGAAGGCGGCUCUCUGGACCUGUCCUGACGCUCAGGCGCGAAAGCUAGGGGAGCGAACAGG
This 253-nucleotide ribosomal RNA is filed under the name uncultured bacterium. Its description in RNAcentral is "partial 16S ribosomal RNA". It matches the Rfam family "Bacterial small subunit ribosomal RNA", at positions 524 to 776 of the family's 1533-position model. The record is from RNAcentral.